GCGGCAACGACGGCGGUAUUGAUUCCACUGGCAGUGCGCGCGGACACCGCCACUGUCGCCUGAAACGCGCGCCUGUGUCAGCCGCCGGCGUCGGCGUCUGUGGCGGCGGCGGUGGCUUCCCACGCGUCAGCCGACCGUGCGCGCUUUACACACCCCGAUAUCGCUACCCCUCCGCACAAGCAACAAUAACACACGGUCACCACCCCUUCAACGUCCCACACCCACUCGCCGGGGACGCGUAUCCAUUAUUACUUUAACACGCUGCCGGUAACGGCGGCAGCGGCGCAAACGCACACCGAAAAGACUGCGGACGACUACUCUGCCGCGGGCACGACAGCGAUUCCCGAACCGUACAUGCCCCUCGCUCUCAUUUCCUUUGCUCUCCACCGCUCCACCCUUCGUACUCGACGGUAUGUCUGCGCGUGUGCGCGUGUUUUCACUUGCGCGCGCACCUUACGAGACCGGCGAUCAGCACGUGCGCCGCGCGGAAGCUCAAUACACUGCCAACACUCGAAGACGUGGCGCAACGCAUCGCAUACUCAAAUGCCUACUCUUGACUCUCGAGAUGCACUACUGUACGUCAUCGUUCUGACUGAGGUUGUUUUUCUCUCAUUCAAGUGAUACUAAACAUAUUAUUCGCUGUAGAUCACCGUCAUUCGGUUGUUAGACACGAAAAUCAUAUUGAAUUAUAAUUGUUUCCGAUCCACGAUGAAGGAUCAAUAAAACUACAACGUUAAUUAUGUUUAGCUCUACAAACAGCAAAUUGAAAAUUAUGGAAAAAAUUCAGAAAUUAUAUCGACCCUAUCAAGUAGGAAUAAUAAUACGGAAACCAUCAAAUCUAAUGGGUCAAAAGUAAUCGGAAAACUAGUAAGAGUCAAGUUUUUAAAAUCAUGCACUACGCCAAUUAUAACGCCUUUGGUUUUAGGUCAUCAUAACUCAUAAAAUUGGCAUUUUUCGGAUGUGGAUAAUCAAUGGCGUACUG
Long non-coding RNA from Sipha flava (yellow sugarcane aphid), 982 nucleotides. RefSeq lists it as uncharacterized. NCBI's taxonomy places the organism in Eukaryota, Metazoa, Arthropoda, Insecta, Hemiptera, Aphididae. The record is from RefSeq and is a predicted model, not a curated record. The transcript has 3 exons.